This is a non-coding RNA of Aedes albopictus (Asian tiger mosquito), 58 nucleotides long. NCBI's taxonomy places the organism in Eukaryota, Metazoa, Arthropoda, Insecta, Diptera, Culicidae. The record is from Rfam.
UAGCCUAGUGGUUAAGGCUAUGGAUCGCCGAUCCGGAGAUGGCGGGUUCGAUUCCCGU